RNAcentral lists this ribosomal RNA (253 nucleotides) under uncultured bacterium. RNAcentral's name for it is "partial 16S ribosomal RNA". It matches the Rfam family "Bacterial small subunit ribosomal RNA", at positions 524 to 776 of the family's 1533-position model. The record is from RNAcentral.
UACAGAGGUCCCAAGCGUUGUUCGGAUUCACUGGGCGUAAAGGGUGCGUAGGUGGUCGGGUAAGUCUGAGGUGAAAUCUCGGAGCUUAACUCCGAAACUGCAUUCGAUACUGCCGUGCUUGAGGACUGGAGAGGAGACUGGAAUUUACGGUGUAGCGGUGAAAUGCGUAGAUAUCGUAAGGAAGACCAGUGGCGAAGGCGGGUCUCUGGACAGUUCCUGACGCUGAGGCACGAAGGCCAGGGGAGCAAACGGG